This 999-nucleotide ribosomal RNA is filed under the name Triticum aestivum (bread wheat). RNAcentral describes it as "partial small subunit ribosomal RNA". Lineage: Eukaryota; Viridiplantae; Streptophyta; Magnoliopsida; Poales; Poaceae. The record is from RNAcentral.
AUGGAGGGAUCCGCCGUCCCGGCGCCGCUCCGCACGCGCGUGUGCAUCAUCGGCAGCGGCCCGGCCGCGCACACGGCGGCCAUAUACGCGGCCCGCGCGGAGCUCAAGCCCGUGCUCUUCGAGGGCUGGAUGGCCAACGACAUCGCCGCGGGGGGCCAGCUCACCACCACCACCGACGUCGAGAACUUCCCGGGCUUCCCCACCGGCAUCAUGGGCAUCGACCUCAUGGACAACUGCCGCGCCCAGUCCGCCCGCUUCGGCACCAACAUCCUCUCCGAGACCGUCACCGAGGUCGACUUCUCCGCCCGCCCCUUCCGCGUCACCUCCGACUCCACCACCGUCCUCGCCGACACCGUCGUCGUCGCCACGGGCGCCGUCGCGCGCCGCCUCCACUUCCCCGGGUCCGACACCUACUGGAACCGCGGCAUCUCUGCCUGCGCCGUCUGCGACGGUGCCGCGCCCAUCUUCCGGAACAAGCCCAUCGCCGUCAUCGGUGGCGGAGAUUCCGCCAUGGAGGAGGGCAACUUCCUCACCAAGUACGGAUCCCAGGUGUACAUCAUCCAUCGGCGCAACACCUUCCGCGCCUCCAAGAUUAUGCAGGCCAGGGCGCUUUCCAAUCCUAAGAUCCAGGUUGUCUGGGACUCCGAGGUCGUCGAGGCCUACGGCGGCGCAGGCGGUGGCCCAUUAGCGGGGGUCAAGGUCAAGAACUUGGUGACUGGUCAGGUCUCUGACCUUCAGGUCUCCGGGCUCUUCUUUGCCAUCGGGCAUGAGCCGGCCACCAAGUUUCUCAAUGGGCAGCUUGAGCUCCAUGCCGAUGGCUAUGUGGCCACCAAGCCGGGCUCUACACAUACCAGUGUGGAGGGGGUGUUUGCUGCUGGGGAUGUGCAGGAUAAGAAGUAUCGUCAGGCGAUUACUGCCGCUGGUUCAGGGUGCAUGGCUGCUUUGGACGCAGAGCACUAUCUGCAGGAGGUGGGUGCACAGGAGGGCAAGUCUGAUUGA